GGCGUGGGCGGUUUCCAAAUGGAGAAGAAGGCCCUGACAGGUGGGCCCCACCUGUCAGUGGCAGCGGGCGCUCAUGCGCGGACCGGUCUGGUUCGGGCGCGGUCGGCCGGCGGUUCGGCCGGUUCAAGGCUUACCGGGCCGGCCCUGUGGGGCGGUCCGUUCUAUUUUUUUUCUCUUUAACCUUUUCUUUUUCUGUUUUUCUUAUUUCUUUGAUAUCUUUUGAUUUUGAACUCCAAAUUGGUCCAAAUAAAUUCCGGAAAAUUUGUAAAAUCAUGUUUUACCAUGAUACAACUUUUGGGAGUAGUUUCGCCUCAAAAUAAAAUACACAAAAUACAUUUUCAAUAUAAAUGCCUUUAGGGCCAUAUAACUAUUUAAAAUAAAAUACUUUUUCAACUCCAAAUAAUUAUCCAAAAAAAUUAUGGGUUAGCUUAUAUAUGCAAUAACCCCCCCCCCCCCGCCUUUUUUUUUAUAUAAACGCUAUUAGUUUGAAAAUCCAAAGUUCAAAUGGGUGUAAGCCCUAGGGUUUAAAUUGAAAUAAAAUCUUUUAAAGCCUUUUUGAGAUUUAAAUUUGAAUUCAGAUAUGCAAUUGUGG
Molecule: long non-coding RNA, 592 nt
Filed under: Brachypodium distachyon (stiff brome)
Lineage: Eukaryota; Viridiplantae; Streptophyta; Magnoliopsida; Poales; Poaceae
Description: long non-coding RNA (BDIS_LNC003853)
Source: RNAcentral